AAAGCUCAAAUUUAAAAUCUGGCGGUUCUGCCGUCCGAGUUGUAAUCUGGAGAAACGUUUUCCGCGUCGGACCGUGUACAAGUCUCUUGGAACAGAGCGUCAUAGAGGGUGAGAAUCCCGUCUUUGACACGGACUACCGAUGCUUUGUGAUACGUUCUCGAAGAGUCGAGUUGUUUGGGAAUGCAGCUCAAAAUGGGUGGUAAAUUCCAUCUAAAGCUAAAUACAGGCGAAAGACCGAUAGCGAA
This 245-nucleotide ribosomal RNA is filed under the name Phanerochaete sp. RNAcentral describes it as "partial 28S ribosomal RNA". It matches the Rfam family "Eukaryotic large subunit ribosomal RNA", at positions 104 to 344 of the family's 3401-position model. Lineage: Eukaryota; Fungi; Basidiomycota; Agaricomycetes; Polyporales; Phanerochaetaceae. The record is from RNAcentral.